Molecule: ribosomal RNA, 336 nt
Filed under: uncultured bacterium
Lineage: Bacteria
Description: bacterial SSU rRNA
Rfam family: Bacterial small subunit ribosomal RNA
Source: RNAcentral
CAGGUCUAGCUUGCUAGAUGCUGACGAGUGGCGGACGGGUGAGUAACGCGUAGGAAUCUACCCCGCGGUGGGGGAUAACACGAGGAAACUCGUGCUAAUACCGCAUACGCUCUACGGAGGAAAAUUUUUUGCCGUGGGAUGAGCCUGCGUUAGAUUAGCUUGUUGGUAGGGUAAUGGCCUACCAAGGCGAUGAUCUAUAGCUGUUCUGAGAGGAAGAUCAGCCACACUGGGACUGAGACACGGCCCAGACUCCUACGGGAGGCAGCAGUGGGGAAUCUUGGACAAUGGGGGAAACCCUGAUCCAGCAAUGCCGCGUGUGUGAAGAAGGCCUGCGGG